AGCAGCCGCGGUAAUUCCAGCUCCAAUAGCGUAUAUUAAAGUUGUUGCAGUUAAAAAAGCUCGUAGUUGAAUUUCGGGAUCAAUCUGUUGGUCGUGCCUUUGGUACGUACUAGCUUAUUGAUUUCUCCCUUCUGACGAACCAUGAUGUCAUUAAUUUGGUGUCAUGGGAAAUCAGGACUGUUACUUUGAAAAAUUAGAGUGUUUAAAGCAGGCUCACGCUUGAAUACAUUAGCAUGGAAUAAUGAAAUAGGACGUUUUGAUUCUAUUUUGUUGGUUUCUAGGAUCGACGUAAUGAUUAAUAGGGAUAGUUGGGGGCAUUAGUAUUCAAUUGUCAGAGGUGAAAUUCUUGGAUUUAUUGAAGACUAACUACUGCGAAAGCAUUUGCCAAGGAUGUUUUCAUUAAUCAAGAACGAAAGUUAGGGGAUCGAAGACGCUCAGAUACCGUCGUAGUCUUAACCAUAAACUAUGCCGACUAGGGAUCGGAUGAUGUAAUUUUUUAAUGUACUCAUU
This 510-nucleotide ribosomal RNA is filed under the name uncultured Glomus. Its description in RNAcentral is "SSU rRNA". It matches the Rfam family "Eukaryotic small subunit ribosomal RNA", at positions 569 to 1080 of the family's 1831-position model. Lineage: Eukaryota; Fungi; Glomeromycota; Glomeromycetes; Glomerales; Glomeraceae. The record is from RNAcentral.